UGAAGCUAGAAAGCUGAAAGGCAAAAACCAAAAAACUCAUUGAAAGGGGGAGCAAGAAAUCGGAACAGGUAAAUAUAAGCCAGAAAAGAUUCUUCAGUUAAGCAACAGGUUUAGUAUUUCAUCUAUUAAAAUUAAAGAGAUUCACUUACUAAAAAUAAAUUUUCAUAACUAAUCCUGUCAAACCCUAUCCAGAAUACAACUACAGAAGCAUCUGCAAAUCUCAUGCAACCUAACGUUAGAGCAAUACAAGGAUCAAUCAAAUCCCAUAAAGUCAUGAAGCUAAGACCAAUUCAGUUUAACCCAUUCCUAGUUCCUACACUCAUCGCGACCAUUCAAACAACAAAAACUUGAGAUAAGGUAAAGGUCAUCAUAUUCAUAUCUGAAAAGACAUGAACUCUCAAAGGAGUAAAAGAAAAAGAUAUCUCCAACAAACACUAACAUAAAUCAUCACAUCUAAAGUUUGCAAACUCUGCUUAGAAAGUUAUACACAAUCAACUGAAUUGAGGUCUUAAUGGAUUGACACCACACGGAAUUAUUGAACAAUGGAAAGAUCCUCCUAUAAAAGGAUAACUGCAUGAUGAGUGAUGACAAACUUCCUAGAUUAGCUAUAUGCAUUUCGGCAGAGGACCUAGUUAAUUUAAUGUUGUCCAGAAUUAAUUCAUUAAAUUCCUAGGAUAGUUCACCAUGUGCAUGCUUUCAUAAGGUGAAACUUGUUCAUUAAGUUUUGUUUACAGUUAAUGAAUAAUUUAGUAACAUAAUAUGCAAACAUCACACUAAUCAAUUAAUCAUGAAAGGAGUUCCAAAGAAGAAAUGUAGCAGCUUCAUCUAACGUGUGAAACAUAUCAGCAAAUCGAUACAGGGUACAGAUCAACUUAUGGAAACCAUUUUAUCCACAAGCAAGGUUGAGUAGUUACAUGAUGUAAUGUAAGUCUUAUUAAAAAAAUAAGCAUAAGCACAUUGUAAAUCUGUAUACAAAUUUGCAAACGAUACAAAUAACAGCCAAUUUGGACAACAUGUGAACUACAUUAGAAUAAUAAAUACUUAUAUAACAAAAAUGUAAGUGAGACAAAUCAUCCUACAAAUAUGGAAACAAAGAACAUGGAAUGCACAUAAACAAACGAUAUAAAUAGAGCUAGGUUGCAAAUUAAGAGAGUAACACUUGCCGUGAGAAUUAAAGACAGAUAAAUCAUCAUAGAAACAUGGAAAGAAGAACUAGGUUUAUUUUCCUGUUAUGUUAACAAGCAGUAAAAAUUCUUUAAACACAUACCUGAACUUUGAGG
This 1280-nucleotide unclassified non-coding RNA is filed under the name Hevea brasiliensis (rubber tree). Lineage: Eukaryota; Viridiplantae; Streptophyta; Magnoliopsida; Malpighiales; Euphorbiaceae. The record is from RNAcentral.